UACGUAGGGUGCGAGCGUUAAUCGGAAUUACUGGGCGUAAAGCGUGCGCAGGCGGUUUUGUAAGCCAGAUGUGAAAGCCCCGGGCUUAACCUGGGAAUGGCAUUUGGGACUGCAAGGCUUGAGUGCGGCAGAGGAGACUGGAAUUCCUGGUGUAGCAGUGAAAUGCGUAGAUAUCAGGAGGAAUACCGAUGGCGAAGGCAGGUCUCUGGGCUGACACUGACGCUCAUGCACGAAAGCGUGGGGAGCAAACGAGGAUAGAACCCGUGUGAGAUCCG
This 275-nucleotide ribosomal RNA is filed under the name uncultured bacterium. Its description in RNAcentral is "partial 16S ribosomal RNA". It matches the Rfam family "Bacterial small subunit ribosomal RNA", at positions 524 to 797 of the family's 1533-position model. The record is from RNAcentral.